RNAcentral lists this ribosomal RNA (1374 nucleotides) under Lactiplantibacillus paraplantarum. Its description in RNAcentral is "Lactobacillus paraplantarum 16S ribosomal RNA". It matches the Rfam family "Bacterial small subunit ribosomal RNA", at positions 93 to 1456 of the family's 1533-position model. Lineage: Bacteria; Bacillati; Bacillota; Bacilli; Lactobacillales; Lactobacillaceae. The record is from RNAcentral.
GAGUGGCGAACUGGUGAGUAACACGUGGGAAACCUGCCCAGAAGCGGGGGAUAACACCUGGAAACAGAUGCUAAUACCGCAUAACAACUUGGACCGCAUGGUCCGAGUUUGAAAGAUGGCUUCGGCUAUCACUUUUGGAUGGUCCCGCGGCGUAUUAGCUAGAUGGUGAGGUAACGGCUCACCAUGGCAAUGAUACGUAGCCGACCUGAGAGGGUAAUCGGCCACAUUGGGACUGAGACACGGCCCAAACUCCUACGGGAGGCAGCAGUAGGGAAUCUUCCACAAUGGACGAAAGUCUGAUGGAGCAACGCCGCGUGAGUGAAGAAGGGUUUCGGCUCGUAAAACUCUGUUGUUAAAGAAGAACAUAUCUGAGAGUAACUGUUCAGGUAUUGACGGUAUUUAACCAGAAAGCCACGGCUAACUACGUGCCAGCAGCCGCGGUAAUACGUAGGUGGCAAGCGUUGUCCGGAUUUAUUGGGCGUAAAGCGAGCGCAGGCGGUUUUUUAAGUCUGAUGUGAAAGCCUUCGGCUCAACCGAAGAAGUGCAUCGGAAACUGGGAAACUUGAGUGCAGAAGAGGACAGUGGAACUCCAUGUGUAGCGGUGAAAUGCGUAGAUAUAUGGAAGAACACCAGUGGCGAAGGCGGCUGUCUGGUCUGUAACUGACGCUGAGGCUCGAAAGUAUGGGUAGCAAACAGGAUUAGAUACCCUGGUAGUCCAUACCGUAAACGAUGAAUGCUAAGUGUUGGAGGGUUUCCGCCCUUCAGUGCUGCAGCUAACGCAUUAAGCAUUCCGCCUGGGGGAGUACGGCGCAAGGCUGAAACUCAAAGGAAUUGACGGGGGCCCGCACAAGCGGUGGAGCAUGUGGUUUAUUUGAAGCUACGCGAAGAACCUUACCAGGUCUUGACAUACUAUGCAAAUCUAAGAGAUUAGACGUUCCCUUCGGGGACAUGGAUACAGGUGGUGCAUGGUUGUCGUCAGCUCGUGUCGUGAGAUGUUGGGUUAAGUCCCGCAACGAGCGCAACCCUUAUUAUCAGUUGCCAGCAUUAAGUUGGGCACUCUGGUGAGACUGCCGGUGACAAACCGGAGGAAGGUGGGGAUGACGUCAAAUCAUCAUGCCCCUUAUGACCUGGGCUACACACGUGCUACAAUGGAUGGUACAACGAGUUGCGAACUCGCGAGAGUAAGCUAAUCUCUUAAAGCCAUUCUCAGUUCGGAUUGUAGGCUGCAACUCGCCUACAUGAAGUCGGAAUCGCUAGUAAUCGCGGAUCAGCAUGCCGCGGUGAAUACGUUCCCGGGCCUUGUACACACCGCCCGUCACACCAUGAGAGUUUGUAACACCCAAAGUCGGUGGGGUAACCUUUAGAACCAGCCGC